This 253-nucleotide ribosomal RNA is filed under the name uncultured bacterium. RNAcentral describes it as "partial 16S ribosomal RNA". It matches the Rfam family "Bacterial small subunit ribosomal RNA", at positions 524 to 776 of the family's 1533-position model. The record is from RNAcentral.
UACGUAGGGACCAAGCGUUGUUCGGAUUUACUGGGCGUAAAGGGCGCGUAGGCGGCGUGACAAGUCACUUGUGAAAUCUCCGGGCUUAACUCGGAACGGUCAAGUGAUACUGUUGUGCUAGAGUAUAGAAGGGGCAAUCGGAAUUCUCGGUGUAGCGGUGAAAUGCGUAGAUAUCGAGAGGAACACCAGAGGCGAAGGCGGAUUGCUAGGCUAAUACUGACGCUGAGGCGCGAAAGCUAGGGUAGCAAACGGG